UGGACCUUAAAAAUGAGGUAUAAAUGCCAC
This 30-nucleotide non-coding RNA is filed under the name Mus musculus (house mouse). The record is from RNAcentral. Lineage: Eukaryota; Metazoa; Chordata; Mammalia; Rodentia; Muridae.